CCUGCAGAACGCGUAUUAGCACGUCGCGGGCCGCUCCCACGUCGGGACCGACAGGCCUAGCCUGCCAGCCGCAUCGUGGGCCUGCUGGACAGCCCAACGUUGCUCAGCCAGGAGUGGGUUGCGGAGGGCCGCCUCCCACCUAGCUGACUUGAGUGGUGUCAGGAACACAAGAGACGUGCAAGGAGUAGAAGAUACGUUUAACUCGGAGAUGAAGGUCUGUUGCAAACGUCAUCGCUUCCACCGAUGAAAAAUAUUCUUCAAGAACAGCAGACGCUCCGGAGGCAUCAAGUACGACGCCACCAUUUUGAAAACGUCGCAUGACGACAACUUCGUUUGC
Molecule: long non-coding RNA, 337 nt
Organism: Dermacentor albipictus
Lineage: Eukaryota; Metazoa; Arthropoda; Arachnida; Ixodida; Ixodidae
Source: RefSeq, a predicted model, not a curated record